CCUACGGGGGGCAGCAGUGAGGAAUAUUGGUCAAUGGCCGGAAGGCUGAACCAGCCAUGCCGCGUGAAGGUCAGUGCCCUAUGGGCGUUAAACUUCUUUUGUUCGGGAGCAAUAAUGGUCACGUGUGGCCAGACUAGAUUACCGUACGAAUCAGCAUCGGCUAACUCCGUGCCCGCAGCCGCGGUAAUACGGGGGAUGCAAGGGUUAUCCGGAUUUAUUGGGUUUAAAGGGGGCGUAGGCGGAAUGUCACGUCAACGGUAAAAUCGCGGGGCUAAACCUCGAACCGCCAUUGAAACUGGCGGGCUUGAGUGGGCGAGAAGUAGGCGGAAUGCGUGGUGUAGCGGUGAAAUGCAUAGAUAUCACGCAGAACUCCGAUUGCGAAGGCAGCAUACCGGAGCACAACUGACGCUGAAGCACGAAAGCGUGGGUAUCGAACAGGAUUAGAUACCCGAGUAGUC
This 458-nucleotide ribosomal RNA is filed under the name uncultured bacterium. RNAcentral's name for it is "partial 16S ribosomal RNA". It matches the Rfam family "Bacterial small subunit ribosomal RNA", at positions 338 to 795 of the family's 1533-position model. The record is from RNAcentral.